AUACGGAGGGUGCGAGCGUUAAUCGGAAUUACUGGGCGUAAAGGGUGCGUAGGCGGUUUGAUAAGUCGGAUGUGAAAGCCCCGGGCUUAACCUGGGAAUUGCAUUCGAUACUGUCAGGCUAGAGUAUGUCAGAGGUUGGCGGAAUUCCUGGUGUAGCGGUGAAAUGCGUAGAUAUCAGGAGGAACACCGGUGGCGAAGGCGGCUAACUGGGACAAUACUGACGCUGAGGCACGAAAGCGUGGGGAGCAAACAGGAUUAGAUACCCUUGUAGUCC
RNAcentral lists this ribosomal RNA (274 nucleotides) under uncultured bacterium. RNAcentral describes it as "partial 16S ribosomal RNA". It matches the Rfam family "Bacterial small subunit ribosomal RNA", at positions 523 to 796 of the family's 1533-position model. The record is from RNAcentral.